CUCGCCUAAUGACUUGGCAUUCAUGACAGCAGGUGUUCAUGAAGGGAGUUCAGGAAGUUGAGGAACCCUUCCUCAAAGGGGUAUGGGGAACAGAGUUCAUUCACCAUGUUGUUCUCUUUCUUUUGACAGGUCCUUUGCUAUCCUUUGAGCAUGAGCCAGACCUCUGAGAAUACCAAGAAGAAAAAGAAUAAUUACAAUGAGUAUUUCAGAGAUUCUGCUGUCAGAUGCUUUUCUGCUUUUACACGGGCUCAAUCCUGACACGACUGACUUCAGUAAAGACCUGCCAGCCUCAAACAACACCCUCUUUCUUCGCAUUAGAAAUGGAAACACGUCCUCUGCAGGAAUUUUCCACUUAAUAGCUCCUGCUUUCCUACCGGGGGCCUCAGUGCACCACCACUGCAAUGCUGUAUUUCUUUCCACUGCAGUUUGACAUUUUGCAGCCAGAACAACGAACGGCAUUCACUCCAUCCUGAUUUUUGAAAAACAUAUCUCUAUAGGCCCACAGAACACACCCAGUGCAGCAAUCACCAGGGGAAAAUGGCAAAGGUAUUUAAACAUCAUUACAUGUCACUGAGACUAUGACAUUGUCUGGUAAAAAUGCUCUUUUAUACAGUUGCUUUUCCUUACUCCCCAUUCCUCCCCCCUCCAACCCUUUAUAGAUACACACACACAGACACCAAACCUCUGCCCUGCUCUCCCACCCCCAGCCAGUCUCUUGUUUUACACUCGGUUGUAAUUGUUUGCCAUUGAGAAUUAUUUCCUUUACAUAAUAUUUGCAAACUGUGUAUCAGGUCCUGACACUGUGAGGAGCAGAAAAGCACAUUGCAGAUAAUCUGAGCAGUAAACAAGGAGCCUGCUUUAAAAUGUGCUGAGUGACCUGUCUGAAGGCAGCAAUAUUUGCAGAUUGUUUACUGCUGAGAUGCAGGGAUGUUGCUGAAAUGCAGCAGCUUGAAGAUUGGAGCAAAAUGGGAUCUCAGACACUCGGUCAAGCACAACCUGUAUUUUUUUUAUUUAUUGUUUGUCUUCUGCUUUUUUUAAAGUUAGAGCUGUAUUAUAAAUUAUUAAAAGCUAUUUUCAAA
Molecule: long non-coding RNA, 1079 nt
Filed under: Zonotrichia albicollis (white-throated sparrow)
Lineage: Eukaryota; Metazoa; Chordata; Aves; Passeriformes; Passerellidae
Description: lncRNA (ENSZALG00000012324.1)
Source: RNAcentral